AAACGUCACUUCCGCUCUGGCCGGAUAUUAUCUUCCAUCUUCACCAUGGUUCCUCCUGUCGCGGUGUCGCCGCUCAUUAAGACGGCCAGAUGGUCUGCCCUGCUGCUGGGUGCGUUCUACGGCAAGCAGAGGUUUGACUACCUCAAACCCAUUGCUGAGGAGGAGAGGAAGGUAGAGGAAGCAGAGAAGAAACUCAGAGAAGAGCAGGAGCGCAUCUACAAGCAGCUUUCUGAAGCAAAUUCUGAGUCCAUUCUCCAGUGAACACUCACCGGACCAGUCUCAUCAUGUUCCAAUCUAAA
Notolabrus celidotus (New Zealand spotty) is the source of this 299-nucleotide long non-coding RNA. RefSeq lists it as uncharacterized. The record is from RefSeq and is a predicted model, not a curated record. NCBI's taxonomy places the organism in Eukaryota, Metazoa, Chordata, Actinopteri, Labriformes, Labridae. The transcript has 4 exons.